UCUCUUAUUAUCCACCUGAAUCUUGCUACUUCCUUCUCCUCUUUCGCUCUAUCACAUAUCAAUUGUUUCUACACAUCUUGCACGUACCUAACACCCUCUGCCAUCUCACUAACCCUCUGUUCCUUGACUCUCUCCUAGCCAGCAGAUUUGGAUUCCUGGUCUAAACAGUUGGAGAGGAAGGAGAAGGAACUGGCCAGCAUUUCCAGCUUCUAUAAAGAGCAACUAGCAACACUGGAGAAAAAGAACUUUGACAACUACGAGCAGACGACUGAACAGUUCAACCAAGCAGCUACUACAGCUGAGGCUCACAUCCG
Non-coding RNA from Labrus bergylta (ballan wrasse), 314 nucleotides. NCBI's taxonomy places the organism in Eukaryota, Metazoa, Chordata, Actinopteri, Labriformes, Labridae. The record is from RefSeq and is a predicted model, not a curated record.